Molecule: long non-coding RNA, 1380 nt
Filed under: Mus musculus (house mouse)
Lineage: Eukaryota; Metazoa; Chordata; Mammalia; Rodentia; Muridae
Description: long non-coding RNA chr13:96619052-96620432
Source: RNAcentral
AUAUGAUUAAUCAGGUCCUGUUUCAACUUUUGAGCACAUACUUCUUUAUAUAGCAGAAGAAGUAAAAGAAGAAAAUAGUAUUGAAAUUUUAAAGUAUUUCUUGUCUUUGUGUUUGUUGUCAUUAGCAAAUAUGGGUUCUAGAAAUUAAACUGUAACUUAUGUUCUCCAGCAUCUUUAGAACAAAGAAUUCCAAGUUCAUAAGAAUACUGACUUUGAAUAAUGUUAUUUAUAUACCUUUUCUCUUACAGUAAGGAGUCUGCCAAAGAUCUAGGCCUUUGUUAAUAUUAGCUGAGAAUUUGUCUGGAAAACUCUAUGUUCAAUUACACCAGUGGUUAAAUUGGAUUUGGUACAUUUUACAGUCAGGCAUACAGAAUAGACUUAGGUCUAUUCAGGAUACGCUCUUGGGUUAAUUACUAACAUUUGAAACACGUUUUGUUAUAUUACCUUAUAUAACACAUUUCCAUGUACACUAAGGAAAUCUAUGAAUUUCCUUAAAUUAUUAGGUAAUGUUAACCUUAAAAAAAUAAAAAUUAUUUUUAAAAUACCUUAAAAUAUUAUGUAGCCAAAGUCUUCAUUUUGUAAUUAAUUGAAAAAAAUAAGCCACUUUGUUAUCACUAUCAGUUAUUUAUCAAGGAUGGGACUGUGUGUGAGUGGAAAAAUAUUAGCAUAAUAUGCACAAAGCCCUGGUUAAACCAACUAGCAUUUCUUUUAGCCAUAAAGGACCUGGUUGAUAUGAUAAUAUGCAUUUUUAAUGUAAUUCAGUAAAAAUCACUUAGUGUCAUUCCCCCCCCCCCUUGAAAAAAAAACAACAACUAGCAUUGCAGAUGCUAUUGAAGCAUGAUGCUGUAAUCAGUUCAUACGUGUUUUUAAGUAAGAUGACUCAGUGAGUAAAGAAGCUUGGUGUGCAGGCCAGAGGACCCAAGUCUGAGCCCUGAACCCACGCUGGACAGAGAGCGCCAGCUUCCCAAAGUGCUCCUCUGAGUGCCACACGCGCAUAAAGCACACCACAAAUAGUAAUGUUUCAGAUAAAAGAGAAAUUUAAAUGAUACGUCAUUAUUGAUAGUCUUUACAUUUUUUGUGGUUGGAGUACAAUUGAGGAUUUUUUUUCUCCUUUCACUGUGUGACUCUUAGGCAUUGAGUCUCAGGCUUCCUGGCUCAACAGCAAGUGCUAUACCAAGCUGACAAGCCUCACUAUUGAUGUGCUUACGUUUAACGUCUGUAUGUACCAAGGUGUAAUAAGCACAUCAGCUAAAGUGCUGGAGGCCAACCUAGAUACCGUAGCAAGCGCACAGUUACAAAGGAAAAAGAAACAAAGCACAAACAAAACCCUGGCUAGGGCCUAUCUGUGCUUAUGCAUACUCUGGGUUCAAUUUCCAGUAC